RNAcentral lists this long non-coding RNA (492 nucleotides) under Homo sapiens (human). RNAcentral describes it as "HSALNT0249352". Lineage: Eukaryota; Metazoa; Chordata; Mammalia; Primates; Hominidae. The record is from RNAcentral.
CUGGGAGCUGUAGACCGGCGCUGUUCCUAUUCGGCCAUCUUGGCUCGAAAGAGAUGUACAGGUUUUAUGUGGAUAUAAGUUUUUAUUUCCCUGGGAUAAAUGCCCAAAAUGAGAUUGUAGUGUUAUGUGGGUGGACUAUCCUUUUGCUGAGCAGGACUGAAAUAUAAAACAGAAAACCUGAGAGGGAAGAAGUAACGCUAUAUAGAAGACAAUUCAUAAUGUAAAAAGGUCUGCAUGGAAGAGGAUUGAAGAGCCAGAUGACAGAUGAGAGCCAAAAGGUUUGGAGGUAUUUAGAAGGAUUGCUGCUGAGAAUUGUUGAAUUUAAAUUUUUAAUCCAAUCUGUUUUAGCAGGAGAUUUCAACACAAUUACCAAUAACGUCAAUUAUUUAAUAAUUUGAUGGAAAACAACUUGUAAAGAGUCAGUGAGAAUCAACAUUUUUGUGGGACCGAGAUGGAGUUUGGGGUGUAAGAUGGCUGUCACAUCUGCAAAAG